GAUGAAGAACGUAGCAAAAUGCGAUACUUGGUGUGAAUUGCAGAAUCCCGUGAACCAUCGAGUUUUUGAACACAAGUUGCGCCCGAAGCCUUUUGGCCGAGGGCACGUCUGCCUGGGCGUCACGCAUCGCGUCGCCCCCCCACAAUUCUCCGUAAAGGGAACUUGUGUUUUGGGGGCGGAUAUUGGUCUCCCGUGCUCAUGGCGUGGUUGGCCGAAAUAGGAGUCCUUUCGAUGGACGCACGAACUAGUGGUGGUCGUAAAAACCCUCGUCUUUUGUUUCGUGCUGUUGCUCGCAAGGUAAACUCUUUAAAAACCCCAAUGUGUCGUCUCUUGACGACGCUUCGACCGCGACCCCAGGUCAGGCGGGACUACCCGCUGAGUUUAAGCAUAUCAAUAAGCGGAGGA
This 405-nucleotide unclassified non-coding RNA is filed under the name soil metagenome. RNAcentral describes it as "partial contains 5.8S ribosomal RNA, internal transcribed spacer 2, and large subunit ribosomal RNA". The stretch from base 1 to 122 matches the Rfam family "5.8S ribosomal RNA", at positions 35 to 154 of the family's 154-position model. The record is from RNAcentral.